GCCUUGGUUGUGAAAUUGUAGACACGCGAGACUUAAAAUCUCGUGCUAAAGAGCGUUGAGGUUCGAGUCCUCUUCAAAGGA
This 81-nucleotide transfer RNA is filed under the name Solanum lycopersicum (tomato). It matches the Rfam family "tRNA". Rfam says of the family: Transfer RNA (tRNA) molecules are approximately 80 nucleotides in length. Their secondary structure includes four short double-helical elements and three loops (D, anti-codon, and T loops). The record is from Rfam by way of RNAcentral. Lineage: Eukaryota; Viridiplantae; Streptophyta; Magnoliopsida; Solanales; Solanaceae.